UUCAGUUCAAUUAUACAGUCCCGAAAAAUGAAAAAUAUGAAAAAUGUAAACCUACUCUAUUCUAAACUAAUCCUAAACUACUCUUUAGUUAAACUGCACCCGACGUUCUGGGCCUUGACCGUGUGCCGUCUUCAAGUACAUGAUAUUUCGGGGCAUUCUCCGGUGAAUAAAUACAAAUACCUCGGGGCAUUCCCCCGGCCAAAUGACUGCACUUUUUAAAUACGAUAAACAAAACAUUCAACAAAUAUUCCAAACAUUCCAACAAUACACCAAUUCUAAACUUGCCUACCCGAGCUUACUGUUUGCCUACCCGCUCGACGACAUAUCAUAUUCAACAUCAACAAUAUAUCAAAAAAAUCAUAAUAUUCACUUUUAUCAAUUUUCGAUUCCCGUCCCCAAAUUUGUUUCAACCAACAUGAUUAAAUAAGUCUCAAUUAAAUCAACCAAUAAAACUGUGAUAAUUAAAAAAACUCAAACACACAAUCACAAAUUAACCAUCAAACUCAAACAUGAAUUACACAAAUCAAUGACAUCACAGACAAAAUGAAAAGAGAUAUAGUUGAAGAAUUUGGACCUCAAUUUUAUUUCAAAUGGGAUCUUUCGAGGGAAGCUGCUUCACGGUCUCGAUGAACCUCAACAAUGAACCAAAUCAAACACAGGAAUCGCAGAAUAACAAGAACCUAUACCAAAUUUAGCGCACAACGUCAUGAUUUCAACCGCAGCGCCCUAAUACGACCCAAAAUAUCCAAUUUCGGCCAAGAACUCGCCGGAAUUAGCAACCACAGUGGCGGCAAAAGAAGUGGGUCACAUUUUUGGUGGAUUUUUGAGCGGUUUGAUGCAUUUCCGGUGAGGAGCAGGUGUUUCUUAUGGGUUUGAACGGAUUUAGAGAGGAGGUAGUCGGAUUACAAGAUGAGAUGAUGAUUCCGGCGAGAACUUCGCCACAAUAUUCAACCGGAGCUGCCUUUUAUCUUUUCUUCCCUCUCCGUUUCCUCACUGUCUCUCUUGUCUCUCUUAAUUCUUCACUAUCGUCUCGAUCUCUCCCACUCUCAAUGUUUUCUUCUCCAAUUCCGAUCAAUUUUAUCUCAAUCUCCCUUCACUCUCUUAAUCUCCGAUGGUGUGUGAGUGUGUAGUGAAAAUCGAACGCAGUGAAAAUCAAAACAAGGAAGUGUGUCUCCUUACCAAAGCUGCUUGAAUUACCAAAACAAGAAAGUGCCUCUUGCAUUUGUUGAGGUGAGAAAUUACGGCCUUUGAUGUUUAGGCUCUGAAAUCCUUGAUCUGAAUGCAACAUGUAUUCCUAUUACAUACAAAGAAAACUUGUGAGUUUAAAAACAUGGUGGCUAGUUUGUGGCUUUGGCUUUUGAGGCAAUUGCUCCUGCCCCAGUCACAUUUAGGUUUGCUUCCAACCAUUAGCAUAUGUCAUUGACUUGCUGUAUCAUUGACUCAAACUCAGCUUAUUAAGAGUGACUCUGAAACAAACACAGUAUUUCUGCUUUGUCGUGUUUCUCAAAUAAACCCUUUGAACCUUGGUAUUUCCAUGAGUUCCCUGACUUCUCUGUUGACAAAACUUCCUGCAUGCCUUUUUUUUGGGCUCACAAUCAUGUCUCUUUUAUGUGCUAGCUUUUGUCUUGUUUUGUGCAAUUAAAGAAGCUGGUAGCCAGUUUUGAAAAAAAUUUUCACUUGUUUUGACACGGACUUGACUCAAAGACAAGAAACAAAAAAAGAAUGACAAUUUUUGUUUUGAUAACUGACUUAAGAAAGAUAAAAAUUAAAAUAAAGAGAAGAAAGAAAAGACAAUGAAUGUCCUCUUUUAAAACAAAGAAACAAAAAAUUCAUCUAAAAAUGACAGUUAACAUUAAUGAUUGUGUCAUGCACUUUGGAUUAAGCAGCUUGAUCUUUUCAUCCAAACUUUUUACCCAUUGUUGUUGAGUUAAUGGCCUUGAAACUGAGUUGCUUUCUUAGGUCAAUUGCAUUUAAGACCCCAUUCGGCUAGUGGCGCCUUGAAGGGUUUUCGCCAACAAGUUUUUUUCAUUUUGUCUCGGCUCACUAUCGCCUUAUGGUGCCCGUGAGGGUUUUCACCAAUAAGACUCUCUCAUUUUUAUUUCUCUCAACUUGCCAUCACCUUAUGGUGCCCAUAAGGGUUUUCACCAAUAAGACUCUCAUUUUUAUUUCUCUCUUAAUUCCCUAUGCUGAGGAAGACAAAUAGUUCCCAAAUGCAUCAUCAUAUCCCUCGCAUGCUCAGCCUUAACAUCCUCAAAGAUUGAUCUGAAUGUCUUUCUUUGGUUGUAACUUGGUUUUUGGAUAAGGUUAGAAAUAAAGGAUGACAUGGGGCCCAAACGCACUUGAAGUGGAGUAAGACUUACAACUUUUGGAAUCGACUCAAACAAUGAGGAUUAACUCAUGUCCCAGUUUCUUUGGACUUAGUGACUCUAAAUUGUUUAUUUGGUUGGACCAAGCCCUGAGUAGGGUAGCCUACGUAUCUCACCCCCUCGAAAUAGGAGAAUCAGGUCAUGCGUAGUUCUGGCAACUUGUUCUUUCACUUGAUUCUAUUCUUUUUUUCUUUUUUUUUUCUUUUGGGGAUUUUUCGACUCUAUUUUUCUUCACACUUUUUUUUGACACAUUUUUUCUAUCUUUUCUUCUUUCUUUUUUUUUUUUGAACUUUUCUGACUAUUGUUUUGCUCGACAUUUUUCUUUCGAGCUUUGCUGACUAUAUUAAUUCCAAAAGAGGUGUAUGAAAAAAAAAUAAGACUAAAGCUCAAAUGGGGUAAACAAAGGAUGACACGAUGUUUGGAUGGCAGAAUGAAAUGCCUUCGUCAUAUCAAUCUUUGAAAAUGCAAGUACAUAUCAUGCAAUAUGAAAGUGAAAGAUGAAGAUCUUUGACAUCUUUUACAGCAUUAACUUUGACUGAGUCUGUGCAUCACUAUUUCUUCUGCGUUUAUAUGGCAUACAACUCCACUUUUGUUGCACAUUCCUCACAUUGAAUGACUCAUGAUUUUGUGAAGCUAAUUUUCUUUCUGUUCACGCGGCCACUAUUUGAUCUAAUUGAGACAUGUCUUUCAAUUGAUGACCAAGUUAUUCUUGUGAUUCUCAAAAUAAGUGUCUUAAUUUUUAGGAAAGGCUUCAACUUGUCACCAAAUUCCCCAGCACUCUAUCUAUUUUCUUAGAUAUUUUAUUUUCCUAAUUUUAACUCUCUAAUCCAAUGCUUCCUGAUCAAGUGAAUUUUAAGAUCUGGCUGAAAAUUUUGCUAGCAUGUCAUAUCACAAAGAAUCAACAUAAAAUGUACUAUGUAAAGAAAACAAGCAAACAACACAAAUUUAAAACAUAAAGGAAAAGGGGACACUCCAUUUAAUAAAAAUGAAAGAUAGAAGGGUUUGAACAUAAACGACAAAGGGACAAAAACAAGAUAGAUCUCGAACUACAAUCCUGAAAUAAUUCGAAAAACAGAAAAGAAGACAAAACAAACUACCAGACCUCUUCCUAGUAGGGAGAUGGGUGAAUUCUCAAUUGCUCAGCCUGACAACUUAGCCGCUGGUUUGCAUAUCAGCAUGACUAGAGCUUCCCUCACUAUCAAUGUUCUGCACCAUAAUUGAUCCAUCAUGAAUCAUCUUUUCAAUUUNNNNNNNNNNNNNNNNNNNNNNNNNNNNNNNNNNNNNNNNNNNNNNNNNNNNNNNNNNNNNNNNNNNNNNNNNNNNNNNNNNNNNNNNNNNNNNNNNNNNNNNNNNNNNNNNNNNNNNNNNNNNNNNNNNNNNNNNNNNNNNNNNNNNNNNNNNNNNNNNNNNNNNNNNNNNNNNNNNNNNNNNNNNNNNNNNNNNNNNNNNNNNNNNNNNNNNNNNNNNNNNNNNNNNNNNNNNNNNNNNNNNNNNNNNNNNNNNNNNNNNNNNNNNNNNNNNNNNNNNNNNNNNNNNNNNNNNNNNNNNNNNNNNNNNNNNNNNNNNNNNNNNNNNNNNNNNNNNNNNNNNNNUUGUGCAUUAUACACUGGAUAUGGAUGUGGAGGAACAGAGUGCAAUGGAUUUUGGGAGUGAUUAUGUGGAGCCUGGGCAUAAACUUGAGCUUGAGCCUGAGAUCGACGACGACGUGGUCUUCUUGACCUUUCUUGUUGUCCAACUAUAAUUGCAGAAGCAUCUUUCUUAUUCUUUUUCUCCCCAACACUUCCUGAACCAUUUUGAAUUACUUGAGUAGUCACUUUCAAUGUUGCAAAACUCACAAUGCGACUAGUCUUAAUUUCCUCUUCUACCAUCUCUCCCAUUUUAAGGACCUCAAUGAACGGCUUGCCUAAUGCAGGUAACAAGUGUUGAUAAUAUGUUUCGUCCUGCGCUUGAAUAAACACCUCCAUUAUUUUGCUUUCUUUCAUUGGGGGUUUUACUCUAGCAGCUUGUUCGCGCCAUCUGAUCGCAUACUCCCUGAAACUCUCAGUAUUUUUCUUUGCUAUACUAGUUAGGGAUUUUUCAUCAGGGAUCAACUCCACAUUGUAUUGAAAUUGUUGCACAAAUUCGUUAGCUAGGUCAUCCCAACUAAAUCAUUUGUCAGUAUCUUGGUCAACAAACCAUUCUAUAGCUAGACCUGAAAGACUCUCACCGAAAUAUGCCAUGAGUAAUUCUUCCUUCUUUCCAGCGCUCCUUAGCUGGUUGCAAUAGCGUCUCAAAUGUGCUACAGGAUUGCCAUGUCCAUCAUACUUCUCAAACUUCGGCAUUUAAAACCAAGAGGAAGAUGUACACCAGGAAAUAUGCACAGAUCUUUAUAUGGGACACUUUAGUACCCCUAAGUCCUUGCAAGUUUUUUAUAGUCAGUUCCAAACUUCUCAAUUUUCUAGCUAUUUCCUCUUGUUCUUCUGUCAUACCAGGCUUCUCAGUGUUAGGAGGAAAUUCAGGCGGUUGAGGGCAAUCGUAAGGACCAGUCGACUUAAAUGUAGGCUCGAGAGCAUAAUGCUGAUCACUAAAAAUAUUCAAUGCAGGCUCUCUUGUAGAGUAGGGAGGCACAACUUGUGGAUGAACAUCAAAAGUAGGAGCUUCAGGUGGGGGUGACGCCGCAAAAGCGUGAACAACAGCUAGAGCCGAGUAUGUGGUAGUCUUGGAUUGGGGAGUGAGGAAGUGAACAUUGAAAGUGGUUGGAUAUUGUUGCCCCGGAGUCGAUCCUGAUGUAUGUUGUGGCAUAUCAACAAAAAUGGGAAAUUGUGCAUGUGACACGGGAGGCAAGCUAGAAAGAUAUUUCGGAUUAUCAGUGGGAACUGGAGAAGGUGGCAAUCCAUUAGCCCAAGCUCGAUGCAUUUCUAUUAUUUGCCGCCUUAAUUUUCGAAUCUCUUCAUUAUCUCCUACAUUCUCAUUCCCCGAACUCCCUAUCUGAUUAGUAACCACUAAGUCGGUAUCCUUGUUAGCUAUAACUUCCUCUGUGACUUGGAGCAAUAUGGAGAACUAGCCAAAAUGCCAUAAACCAACCACCUUAAACUAACUGGACAAGAGAUGGCAAAUGCAUUAGAGUUUAACAAUUUUUCAAAACCUCUUUUUAUUUUUUUUUAUUUUUAUUUUUUGAAAAAAAAAAACCGAACCCUAGAAGGGCACCUACGUAUCUCACCCCCGAAAGGGGAGAAUCAGGUGUGCCUAGUUCGUGAAGUCAUGCCAAGAUGGCUAAUUGAACUCUUUUUCUUUUCCUCGAAACUUUAAAAAGAAAAGAAAAUAACAAUUUGUCAAAAGAAUUGACGAAAAUGUUUUUGAAUUUUUCAGCUUUAACAUCCCUAUACAAAGUGAAAUCUAUGAUUACCAAAGAGAAUUUUUUUGGUUUUUCAGUUUUAAAUUUCAUAUGAAAAUGGAACUUAAAACUAUUAAAGAAAAAUCUUUUUGUAGUUUUCUUUUAAAGACGUAUAUGAACCGCCUACUCUAAAUAAAGAGUGAAGAAAAUCUUUUUUUGAAUUUUUUUGAAUAAGAUCAACCAAAAAUAAAACCUAUGACUAUUAAGGAUUUUUUUUUUUGUAUUUUUAUUUUCAAGACAUGUAUGAAAUACCUACUCUAGAUGAAAAGUGAAGAAAUUAUUAUUUUUUUUUGGAUUUUUUAAAUAAGAUCCCCGAAUCAAUAAUAGGCUGCCUACGUAUCUCACUCCCGAGAGAGGAGAAUCAAGGGUGCAUAGUUCGUCCAGAUUGGACAAUUAACGAUUAACUAAUAAAUUGACGCUAACUUAAGAGACACAACAAAAAACAAACGAAUAAAAUAUUUUUGGAUUUUCAACUAGACACUUCAACUACGACACCCCUUUUGAUUCAUUCUUUUCGACUCACUUUUUUUCUAUUUUUUUCUUCUUUUUUUUUCUUUUUUGUUUUUGCCUACGCACCUUACUCCUAAAAUUUUUUUUUUUCAAAUCAGUCUGUCAAAUGACAACGUUACCCUUAAAGAUGCAACAGUUAGCACGUAGGGAUGCUUUAGAGGUGAGUGUCCUACAAAGGGCCAUGUGGGUCCCGCUAGGUCUCAGUAUGAUGCACAUAAGCAUGAUCUAAAGGCUGACCUACGUUGUGGUUCACUAACAAGGCUGUUCGGGGGAGCGCACGGUCGAUAGUGGCUGCUUUGCUUUCCACCUACUCCAUAACACCGAUGGCUCCCCCCCUAAAGUAAGGGUCAACUAGAGGUCGUGUACAACACAUGUACUACGGACUUGUUGCAGAAAGAAGGCCUGAGGGUAGACACAUGAUGCAAGAUAUGAAAGCGGUAACACAUAGGAUAAAUACUGUACACAAAGAGCACGAAAACGCACAACAGUGAUAACAAUAACGCAAACAAAUUACAAACAAUGUUUAUACACCCAUAAUGCCAAACAAAGCCGAUACGACUCCAAAAAUAAGCUCGAAUUCUGAAAUGCUCCCCAGCAGAGUCGCCAGAGCUGUCACACCCCCUUUUUCUACCGAAAAAGAUUCAUUUUUAAGUUUGAAAGGGUUUUUAUUAAAGUGACAAAAAAUGAAAAUUUAUUUCGAAAAGGAUUCAUUAUAUUUCAAAACUCAGAAUCGCCACUUGGCAUAAAUCGGGUGUGCCAAGUCACCUGUGGAUAUCCUUUUUCACAAUGGUUUUGACUCUGUAACACUGAUCCGCGAACAGAGAUUCCGGUUAAGAAAUUUUGUUGACCGAGGGAAAGGUGUUAGACACCCCUCAAUCCCUUGGUUCGACCACGGUCUCUUGAUGGAGCGUAUCGGCUAACUUUGACAUUAUAAGUGUAUAAACCACACAAAAACACAUAACAAUCAAUCAAACACACAAAAACCAAACAAAUCCAAAAUGCAGUGUUCAGUUCAAUUAUACAGUCCCGAAAAAUGAAAAAUGCGAAAAAUGUAAACUUACUCUAUUCUAAACUAAUCCUAAACUACUCCUUAGUGAAACUCCACCCGACGUUCUGGGCCUUGACCGUAUGCCGUCUUCAAGUACAUGAUACUUCGGGGCAUUCCCCGGUGAAUAAAUACAAUUACCUUGGGGUAUUCCCUUGGCCAAAUGACUACACUUUUUAAAUACGAUAAACAAAACAUUCAACAAAUAUUCCAAACAUUCCAACAAUACACUAAUUCUAAACUUGCCUACCCGAGCUUAUUGUUUGCCUACCCGCUCGAUGACAUAUCACAUUCAACAUCAACAAUAUAUCAAAAAUAUCAUAAUAUUCACUUUUAUCAAUUUUCGAUUCCUGUCCCCAAAUUUGUUUCAACCAACAUAAUUAAAUAAGUCUCAAUUAAAUCAACCAAUCAAACUGUGAUAAUUAAAAAAACUCAAACACACAAUCACAAAUUAACCAUCAAACUCAAACAUGAAUUACACAAAUCAAUGACAUCACAGAUAAAAUGAAAAGAGAUAUAAUUGAAGAAUUUGGACCUCAAUUUUAUUUCAAAUGGGCUGCUUCACGGUCUCGAUGAACCUCAAUAAUGAACCAAAUCCAACUUUGAUUUCUAUUUCCCCAAAUCGAACACAGGAAUCACAGAAUAACAAAAACCCGUACCAGAUUUAGCGCACAACGUCACGAUUUCAACUGCAGCGCCCUAAUACAACCCGAAAUAUCCAAUUCCGGCCAAGAACUCGCCGGAAUCAGCGACCACAGUGGCGGCAAAAUAAGUGGGUCACGUUUUUGGUGGAUUUUUGAG
RNAcentral lists this long non-coding RNA (8095 nucleotides) under Capsicum annuum. Its description in RNAcentral is "long non-coding RNA (CANN_LNC015235)". The record is from RNAcentral. Lineage: Eukaryota; Viridiplantae; Streptophyta; Magnoliopsida; Solanales; Solanaceae.